Molecule: non-coding RNA, 1044 nt
Organism: Pelobates cultripes (western spadefoot toad)
Lineage: Eukaryota; Metazoa; Chordata; Amphibia; Anura; Pelobatidae
Source: the annotation of a GenBank genome assembly
UAUAAUUUGUUUAUAAAAUGUAUUGUUUAAUGAUGAUCCUUUCUGGAAAAACAGUUUGGUAUCUUUUAAAAAAAAUAAUAGCAAGAAAAAUGUUUGGACACCCCAAUGUCAUUGUAUCCAUGACACAGUGGGCAAAGAUCAUAUUCUAUGGAACAGAAGACUGUGGCAGGAAUUCAAUUAAAUGCAUCAUUAAUUGUGUUGAUGACUGUGUUUGACAUGGUAACAACAAUAGGUUUUUUCUUACAGGAUCACAUGGCAUGUAGGAGGGUCAGAUUGUUAAGUGUUGCACUAAGUGUAUUUGACAAGCUGAGUUCGACACUCAGUGUAACAGAGUGUCAGUUUGUCAAAUACCCCAAGUGAAGCACUGUCUCCCAGCUGGACUACUUCAACAAAAUGGAAGAUACCCACAGGCCUUAUUUUGCUUAUCUGGCUGUAUCUAGCAGCUAUUACAGUCAAUUUCCUGCAUUUGGUUUUAGGUGAUAUGCUGCAAUGCUUGUGUAAUAUUUGCAAAGAAAACAAAAAUCUUGGUCACAUUUUACUGUGAUCAUUCUACAGGAUGUAUCACAACCAUAUAAGGUAGUAUAAGAGUAGUCUAUCUUAAAUAGCAAAGAUGCAAGGAUAGACAGACAGAAGGAUAGAUAGAUAGAUAGAUAGAUAGAUAGAUAGAUACCCAUUGUACAGCGCUACGGAAUUUGCUGGUGCUAUAUACAUAAUAAAAUAAUAAUAAGAAGAGAUAGAUAGACAGACAGAUAUAUUAGAAAAAUUGCUAUAUUAGAUGGAUUGAUAGAGUAGGUAGAUAGAUAGAUAGAUAGAUAGAUAGAUAGACAGACUGAUUGUUUGAUGGAAGAAUACAGAAAUACCUAAAUGAAUAAGAGUAGAAAUAUACAUGUAUGUUUUAUUAAAGCUGAUUCAACUAUUUAAAGCCUAUUAUAAAUACAUCAAAACUAGUUUAAUAUUUUUAUUAGUAUUUUUUUUCACUUAAAAACAUUGAGAUGUUAUUUUUUUAUUGAAGUGCUGAAAUUCACAAUCCAAUGAACUGUCACU